RNAcentral lists this ribosomal RNA (253 nucleotides) under uncultured bacterium. RNAcentral describes it as "partial 16S ribosomal RNA". It matches the Rfam family "Bacterial small subunit ribosomal RNA", at positions 524 to 776 of the family's 1533-position model. The record is from RNAcentral. RNAcentral also lists the same sequence under 1 other name.
UACGAAGGACCCAAGCGUUAUCCGGAUUUAUUGGGUUUAAAGGGUGCGUAGGCGGAUUGUUAAGUCAGUGGUGAAAGCUCUCGGCUCAACCGGGAAAUUGCCAUUGAUACUGACGAUCUUGAGUGUGGUUGAGGUGGGCGGAAUGUGUCAUGUAGCGGUGAAAUGCUUAGAUAUGACACAGAACACCGAUUGCGAAGGCAGCUCACUAAGCCACAACUGACGCUGAUGCACGAAAGCGUGGGGAGCAAACAGG